UGUUCCCCAAGUUUCAAGUCGUGACCUGCUCACGCAUUUUUAUUUUUUCUUCUUAUCCCUAUGAGAUUCCCUAGAGUCUCUAUCCCUAGUGAGUGUAUUACUCCUAUGGAUUGCCAAUUUCUCCGGAUGUCUUUUCUUCUUUGUGGACACAUAUCCCCACAGAGUUUGUUUGUUUUGCAUACAUACAUCUGCAUCAUGAUGUCUCUUAGGGA
RNAcentral lists this long non-coding RNA (212 nucleotides) under Lathyrus oleraceus (garden pea). Its description in RNAcentral is "Pisum sativum (pea) long non-coding RNA (PSAT_LNC002458)". Lineage: Eukaryota; Viridiplantae; Streptophyta; Magnoliopsida; Fabales; Fabaceae. The record is from RNAcentral.